UGCAUAACAUGUUCCAUUAUUCUACUUUAAUCCAGCAGUCUAGAUCUGCGACAUACUUGGCUAUUUCCAAGAAGUGUUAGAUCUGAAUGGUUUUUUUUCAGGAUUUCCAUGAUUUUACUGCCAGGCAAUUUUGCUGAAAGUAACUUGAUUUUCCCCUGUAUCUCAUACGAUGGGAAAGAACUUAUAAUAGUCAGGAGUUUAUAUGAUAUGAUGCCUUAGGAUUUUUUCUUGCAAUUGUGAUGUAAUUCUUACACAAUGUGUGUGUUAAUUUGUACAGAUGACAUACUGCAGGGAAUGUGAAUUGGAAGCUGUCACUUAGGACUAUAUAUCUAUAACAACAGUAAGUUAAGAACAGGAUCAGAGUGCUCUGACUCAUGAGUUGUGAUGAUCAGCUUGUGACGGCUGUAAUGUUUCCUGCUCCCAGCUGCCCAUUCCACCCCGUGACAUGCCCUUUACAAGCCCCAGCUGCAGAGGUGGCUCAGCUGUUCAUGUAGCAGCUGCUGCAGAUUGGCAAUUUGUAGCUAAGCACAUUAAGGUAACCCAAAGUAAUUUCUGACUUGCCAUAAAACAUUGGGCUGUCAAUGAUAGUUCUUCAACAGCUAUUCUCUAACCAAGACAUAGUUGCAACACAACCAAAAAUCUCCGGGGAACAGGGGACAAAACUUCUGUCAGUAACCUUAAGGAGCCAAGAUGUUGGAUGGGAGAAGUUAUGCUGUGUACUGUGCUGCGAAACUCAGGAACAUUUUCACUACCUUUGUUAAGAAUAGAUGCCCUAGACUUAACCCAGCUUCACAUUCAGAUGGAGCACAUCCAAGACAACUCAUCUCUUAUCAUGAAUCAGAACUCCUGGAGUGGGAGUCAGAUCUAGACCCAGAAGCUUAAGUUUGGAUGUCUAUAGGGUGAAUUUAGAUUUGUGAGGUACACGUUCAAUGUACAAAAGAUUCAGUGACAAUAGUCAGUGGAGCCUUGAGAUUCAUUUUAGAUCAUUUUUGGGUUAUAUCCUCCCAUUUCAUUGAUUGUGCCAUAAGUAAAGCUUAAUGAAUCAUAUUCCUGUGUUUAUUUCUGAACGUAUUAACAACUCUGCGCCUCUUUUCUUUUUUUGUCCAUGUUUCUCUUUCCUAUCUGUUGGUAAUACUUCUCGAGUCUCUUUGGGAUGUAACUGUCAGAGUCAUCAUGCACUCUUACAGGAAACUCAUGAAUGUUAGUGUUUUACAUAGUUUUUGCUCUGCACAACAGUCUCAACUUAGAGAUGCUCCAGUUUGGCUUAACACUGAGGCUAUAGGCAGUAGAGGGGCAACUGGCAUCAUUUGGAGUCUCUUCUCUCGCACACAAACUGUCAAGUGUCUCAUUGGAUCAAUAAGAUUUUUUUAAGAGUGUGGAAUGGCUUGCUCUUUUUUCUGUCUCUCAUCCACAUGAAAUGGCAUUGUGUGUUACCUUAUUAAUCAUUCAGUUGUGCCUUUUCCUCCUGUAGUCUCUUUAGGAGCGCAGCUGUUGUCUUGGGCUCAGUUAUAGUGAGUCCUUUGUGGUUCACUAUGUCCCUUGGUGACUUCAUCUGCCAGGAGAUUGCUUGUGUAGCCAGAGCACCUUCAAUUUUCUUCCAAUAUUCCCAGCGUUUUAAUAGUAGAAGAAUUCCCCUUAGGUCUGAAAUGUAUCCCUGUGGUGACCAUCAUUACGUUUCCCCUUCCUUCCAAUAUUAUAUUUUCCAGUGUUUUUCAAUAGCUUGUCUUUUAAACGCUAUUCUUUACAAGUGUGUCUGAGAUUAAACGGGAACAUUGUUCAAAGACAAAAGGGCUACUGGUAGAACAGAUGUCACUUGCGGGACUGUAUAUCCCCUUCCCCUGGCAACCGACAGAAGUUCUGGCUAACUUGUAAGUGGGCAUCAUGCCCUCCCAACAGAUGGUCAGAAGUGCAGGGAGCCAAAAACCCAUCUAUGGGCAUGAAAUAUGUUGAAGAGGGUCAUGUCUAGACACAAAUGUUGAACCAGCUUUUUGGGCUGAGCUUCUGUGCCCACAGUCAGUCUAAAAGAAAGGACAUGUUUUUUAAAAAAGGAACAUUCUACAUUAACAUAUGGCUGCUUUGGUGUUUAGAGCUGCUGAAGGGAGAUCAAGAAGUAAGCAGAGUAGCUGAGUUUCACAAAAUUAGUUCAAGGAAUCAGAGAAAUCUGCAGUACAGUUGCUCAGAUAAACAUAUGUAGCCUUAGAACAAAAUUUCACAUUUGUUUUCAUAGAAAAUUGAACCUGUUUUCUUAUGGCUUUCACAUUGUCAUAUUUACCAACAACUUUAAAAAUCAGAGCAGUUUUUAUUGUCACAAAUCUGUCUCGGGAACUAAAGAAGUUAUCACAUGGAUUAAUGAGAACAGUUUUGGCAUGUGGCUUUUUAUUACACUUAUCAUCAUGCAGAAGAACCUGAUUAGUUUUUAGCAAGUUUUAGGAGGAAGUCUGUGUCGUAUGCUACUGUAGCUGAGCGAGGAAAUGUAUAUUGCGACAAGGAUGCAUAACUAGACCAAGAUUUUUGCCUUAAUUUUUUUACAGCUGAAAAUGCUUACUAACACGCAGCCUAUACUUUAAUCACCGUCUGCCUUUGCUCUUACCUUAGCCAUCUGAACUUAAAAAUCAAGCAGUUUUAAAUCAGUUGCAUGGUGUGCUAGGUAAAGCCGUAACAAGUUGUGACAAAUAAAAGUUUACUGACUAAUAUUAAGAAAUUAAGAGAUUUUUAUACAUCAAAGCAACUCAGCUGCAGAAUUUGUUUUUUGCACAUGUGUAAUAGAGGAGCUGACUUCAGCUUUGAAGGAAAAAGGAGGCAAGGAUUCAGGAACUGCGAGUGAGUUAGUAUUUUCAUGCGAGACGAGAAACCGAAAGAAUGAGAUUGUUCAUUGCUGUGCCCUGAGAAGGAUGGCACUGGAGGACCACGUACUGGUACAAAAGAGGGGCGACAGUCAGUCUUCACUCUGCAUCACUAGUGCAUUCAGACAGCUUUGGAAGACCGCCUUCCUUGAGGAAAAAGGGAAGUCAGCAUCUAGGUAGUUCAUGCUCUGGCAGAAACACUACUCACAUGCAACUACAAUUUGAAGAGUAUGCCUUUCCCUGCAGUGGCCUGGCUAGAGAUUAUUAGGAUGUUUCAUUUAUAAGUAGUAAUAAGCAGGUAUUGGGUAGUGAUUUUUUCAUUCACUAGCAAGCCUGUUUCAAUGAUCUAGGGCUGAAAAGUCAUAUAUUACAUUGUCUUUCACUUACACUUUUUGAAUCCAACUCCAUUCAGCUUCACAUUGAUUCCCCAGCUAUACUUUUCACUGUGAUUUCUGGGUAUUAUGAAUUCUGUCAUUUUUUAGAUUAACCAAAAUCAUUUGUGUUUUUUUAUAACUUACUUUUGUAUGGAUGUGCUAUUUGAAUUCAUGCAUGUGUUUCUAUGGUUGAUGGAGAUUAUGAAGUCAAUCAGUAAGUGAGACAGCAGCACACAUUCAGCAUCCACAUUAGUUAGUUCAUACAAGCAUGAUUUUUUUCAGCUCUUCGUAUGUUGUACCAGUACACAGUGGUCUGUGAACUCAAUUCCAGAUUCCUGGUAUUUACCAGCUCAUUUUCCAUUCUGUUUUGGCCCAAAUUUCUUUGGCCAUAAACAUUACUAUGCUAAAAUACUAGCUGACACAAAGUCUCAUGAGCAUUGUGAAGUUUGCUUUUUAAUAGUGUUUUAUUUAAAUGAUGAACUUCACUGCUGUGUUGAAUUAUGGUGCUUGCUCCAGCAGUGUUUUCAGGCUCCUUGUCUUUCUAACAUUUAAACCACAUGCAGAAAGGUAAGGAAUGGGGACACAAUAGUAUAUGUGUGUAUGAGCACUGAGAAGAUGGCUAAUCAAGUACCUACUCAAGAGACUGUGGAAGCCAAAGGCUCUCCCAGACCAGCAGGCCUGGCACGAACCUUUCAUAUUUUGCAAGAAGAGAAGUAAUUUCAUCCUUGUGUAUAGGCACAAGUUAAAUACUAUCCUGGUUAAUACAUAGAUUCACAUAUUUACAGAAAAAAAAUCUGAUAGAGAUUCUUACUAUUGCAACAUCAUCAGGUGGUUUUUGGUAGUAAAGGAGCACGCAUCACAGGCUGCUGAUCUGGCUGCAUGCUGAGAAUGCAGACCUACAUCAACCACCAUAGGAGUGUCUUAGCCACUGGGCUAUAGGCCACAGGGAGGACAAAGGUUUUCAUCUUUCUUGUUGAGGCUGAGCCACAGCGUGGCAUGGGGAGCUUGAGGAGACUGAAGGGCUAAACCUUCAGCUUGUGGGCGGUCUGAAAGAUGACAAUUUUUAAAAUAUGUAGCUUCAGAUUUACCUGCAUUCUGCACAGAAAAUGAAAUGGUCAUCUUUGAGUCUGAAUAUGCAGUUUGCACAGGAUCCUGCCUGUUUUCCCCACUCAGAAGCUUCUAUCUUAUCAAAUUAUCCAGUAGUCAUUCGGUUAGUAAAUGUGCCAUGUCAAUGAAUGAUUAUUAAUCAAACAUGCUUAUGCAUUUUACCAUGGUUAAUUCUACACACUUACUGCUGGAUGAAUUAGGAGAUUAUUGGUGUGGUUAAUUUGAAUGACACAUUUGACGCAUAAUGCAGAACUUUGCUUUCUCAUUUGUAGACAAAACUGCUGGGACGUAGGGUGAAUUGAGAGAUCCAGUGAGCACCAUCACCUCACAUAGGCUGUUUCUGUAAGUUUUCUUCAGAAGAAGCAAUAAUUUUCAGUAGCCACCAUGCAAGCAGCUUUAUUUAGGGUUCAGCAUCAGUGCAAGCACCUCUCUCCAUUGUCCUUUUUCACUCCUUUCUGCUACCAGCGCUGCAUGCUUCCCACAUCUUCAAACAAAUGGGAACUGAAGGCCACGCUGGAAAUUGAUCUGUUUGCAGGCUUGCAUCGUCUGGAGCCUUUAAAGGAAUAUCUCUCUCAUUUUCUUCUAUAAUGUGUGUCAACAUUAUUAAGCAAAUAUUCAGAUCAUUCACAGCAUUCCUCUCAUCGACAUGUUAAAACCUCCCUGCUGGAGUGGGAAGUGGAGCCUUCAUCGCAUUGUGGUUGGCAAACUCCUCGACGCUUUAUUUUGGGAGCUCAGCUGGCUGCUACAGAGGGACAGUUUCCGUUCCGUCUGAGCACAUCCUGUGCUGGUUAAAUACCUCAAUCAUGAACAUAUGUUACAGGAAAUGCAGUUAUAGCACAUAGGUUUUUUUUUUUUUAAUUUUUUAUUCUUAGACUUAUGACUAAAGGGCAGUGUCAAAGUUCAUGGUCUAAAAGAUGAGAGUUCUUGACAGCCAUUUUUUUUUUUUUAGGUUCUUUAACUUGAAACAUUAUUCUUUUUGGUUUUAAAUGGCUAUUUAAAGCUGUAACUUACAGUAAACAAUUAAAUACCUUUGGUGAAGUUGAUUAGCUUAUGAGAGACAGAUCCUAGUGUUUACAAACCCAAUAAAAGAGCGUUAUUUAACUAGAAAAGUUGAAUUCUUUCAAAGUUUGUUUGCUUAAGUUCUUCUGAGUUAUUUUUUCCACUGUUCAGGAAAGGAAGCUGCAUUAUAUCCAGCUUUGUAGUCCUGCAGGCAGGAGAUGCCAUCACUUCUUUCUCUCUUAUUUUUAGUUUAUUUUGCUGUAAAAUAUAAAUAUGUAUGUUUCAGAUAGAACCAUACAAUGUAAUAAAUACAGCCCUAAAACAUAUUUUAAAAUAAAGCAAAUAAUCUGUCUUGUACUUUGCAAAUUAAAGCAUUCAAAAAGAGUCUUAAACAAAAAUGCCAGGAGCACAAACUUUUAUCUUCCUAUUGUACAGAACAGCAGCUCUUCCUCAAAUAGUCCUGCUGUGUCUUUUUGAGGAGUUAUGGCCUCUUCCUUGCUAAUAAGACUUUGUCACACAAUAUUUAAUUAUGUUUAAUUACAGCUAUAGAAGAUCUCUUCUUAUAGUAGUUUAGGCAAAGAUCCUAUGUUAGCGAGUAGAGACUGAAUAAAAAUUGUAGGGUUGGACUGUAGCUGCUAAGAAGCCAAAUGUGCAAUGAGACGUUUUUGUGUAAUGCUUAUGUGGUACUGAAUACUUGAUCCAUAAUUCUCACCAGUUAAGCCUUUGAUAACUGUGAUACUAGCUGGAAAAACAUAAAGAUCUCAAGUGACUGCAGAACUCAUUGCUUAUUAUUUUUAUUUAUUUUCUAUGUAUGCAAACUUUUUAGCUCUGUUCCAAUCACAGUGUUGCAUUUGUUGAACAUAUUGCUUGUUACAGCUUCUGUAUAAAAAACAAACUUUGUUUAGAUCAAUAUUCAAAAUCCUGUGAGAUUCAGAACAAUUUUCCCUGGACAUAAAUUAUUUCUUCAUGCAUUAAUAUCAAGAAGAGAGAGCAAGGAAGAAAAAUCCCUAUAAAAUUCCCCCUGGAGAACUUACAGUUUGGGAAAAAAAGAAGUUUGUAUUCUGCUUAGUGAAGGAAGGAGCCUGGAAAACAUAUGAUCUUCUUGUGCCAGUGCUCCUCCAGUUGCUUUGCAGUUCCUUCGUAGCCAGUUGGAUCUGUUCUCUACACGUGCAGUGGUGCGUGGUGGUGUAUGAUCCAUCUUCUGCAGCAAAAGAGAAACAUCUUUUCCAGAAGGAUACAGACUCCAAAGGAUGCUCCCUUGCUGGAGCUGGUAAAUGGUCCAAUUCCACUUUUAAGGAAAUAGCAGCAGUGGAUGAUGUCUCCAGGUUUCCAUUUGUUAUUUCAGAAAGUUAUUAAUGACAGGAAACAGCGAUCCUUGCCUUUUUUUCCUGAAAUAUUUCAAGAUGGAAGAUGUUCGAAAGACUUAUUUUUAAGCUGGUUUGAGCAAAUAGGAGUGCGGCCGUAGAGGCAUGACAGUGGCUGAUGGCAUUUUUCUCCUAGCUGGUUUAGAAAACAAGCCAAGCUUUAAGCUAAACUGAGCAGCUUUAGUGUCAAUAACAAGCCGGAAUUGGUGCAGGGGACCCCAUCCGUGAAAGAUCUGCUUUCUCCUGGCUCAGCCUCAUCUGUUUUGUACCGGUUGACUUGUCUGAGCUUGAAAUCUCAGGUGGAGCAGUCCUAGUGGAAGUCUGUCUGUCCCCUGGGUGUGCAUUCUUGCUAUACAGAUUUCCACGAUCUACAUAACAUAGGAAGUUGCACCGAAGAAAAUAUGAUGCUACCUUUUAAAUACUAUCCAGUUUGAUGGAAGGGAUUAUUCCUGUCAGUAGAAUUUGCAGGCAGAAGUUGCUACAGAUGAAAUUGAUCUGCUGUGAUGUCUUUUGAAAAAAGGAUAAUAUGAAAUUUCAUACUUUAUGUUUAAAACAUUACUUUUCCUUUCCUUUGCACUGAAAAGUGGGAGAACAGCCAGAUCCUGGGUGGCUUUUGAAUGUUUUGUCAGUCCUUUCUCACGUAAAACUUUGAGUUAAUUUGUGAGAAUUUGCUUGAGAAUGUUCUUCAGUGUUUGACUCUGUGUCAACUAAUUCAACUAUCCUAUUUCCAAGAAGUAAGUCACCAGAAGAUAUAAAUGUAUGUGCUGGAGUGUAAUGAUGCUAUGAUAACCAUCACUGGUCCAGACAGUUGUAUGGGGUUGGAUGGAACAAAAUGAUGAGAAAAAAACAUAUGGGUUUGAAUUGUAACACUCGAUUUCAACUUUUUUUUUAAUGCUUUCUGCUCCCUGUCCCUCCCCACCCCCCCUUAUUUUUUGCAGGCUUUGUCUCAUUUCCUAGUAUAUAUUUGCAAGGUUAAAUAGCCAGAGCAAGUUAUUUUGGUGGUGUUACUUCUUCACAGCAGCAUGAAGCUGUGACAUUCAAUCCACAGCAGUGGAGCCAAAUAGCGCUGGAGGAUCUCUGCGUACAUUAUUUAUGUCAGACAUCAAAGCGAGAGGCUCGCAUUUAGGUCUCACCUCACCCUUAGGAUCAAAUUUAAAGGCAGUGGCAAUGCUGUUGUGAGUCACGCAUCAACUGUAAAUUGUUUACAAAACAUAUCUGAAUGUUAAACCACCUCAGAUCGUUGCGGUGUGAUUAGACGGUGAGUGUAAUUUACGUGCUGAACAGCAGAGAAGUUCUUCCUUGUACUAACAAGCAUACAUUAAACAUGGCUCUUGCCGGUUUCCUUCCCUUAAUA
This is a long non-coding RNA of Numida meleagris (helmeted guineafowl), 8041 nucleotides long. RefSeq lists it as uncharacterized. The record is from RefSeq and is a predicted model, not a curated record. NCBI's taxonomy places the organism in Eukaryota, Metazoa, Chordata, Aves, Galliformes, Numididae. The transcript is spliced from 2 exons.